RNAcentral lists this ribosomal RNA (497 nucleotides) under uncultured bacterium. RNAcentral's name for it is "partial 16S ribosomal RNA". It matches the Rfam family "Bacterial small subunit ribosomal RNA", at positions 28 to 507 of the family's 1533-position model. The record is from RNAcentral.
GAUGAACGCUGGCGGCGUGCCUAAUACAUGCAAGUCGAGCGAACAGAUGAGGAGCUUGCUCCUCUGACGUUAGCGGCGGACGGGUGAGUAACACGUGGAUAACCUACCUAUAAGACUGGGAUAACUUCGGGAAACCGGAGCUAAUACCGGAUAAUAUAUUGAACCGCAUGGUUCAAUAGUGAAAGACGGUUUUGCUGUCACUUAUAGAUGGAUCCGCGCCGCAUUAGCUAGUUGGUAAGGUAACGGCUUACCAAGGCAACGAUGCGUAGCCGACCUGAGAGGGUGGUCGGCCACACUGGAGCGGGGACACGGUCCAGGCUCCUACGGGAGGCAGCAGUAGGGAAUCUUCCGCAGUGGGCGAAAGCCUGACGGAGCAACGCCGCGUGAGUGAUGAAGGUCUUCGGAUCGUAAAACUCUGUUAUUAGGGAAGAACAAAUGUGUAAGUAACUAUGCACGUCUUGACGGUACCUAAUCAGAAAGCCACGGCUAACUACGUG